UAAAGGGAAAAAUUUUUUUAAAUCCUGGCACUUUUUUUUAAUUAUUAUGAACCAAUUUGGGGGGUAAGACCAUUAAAAUUCAAUUUUGCCCUUCUUAAGGACAGGUCUAAUGUAGGUAUUAAGUUCACCAAAAUAAUU
Molecule: long non-coding RNA, 138 nt
Organism: Diprion similis
Lineage: Eukaryota; Metazoa; Arthropoda; Insecta; Hymenoptera; Diprionidae
Exons: 3
Source: RefSeq, a predicted model, not a curated record